Molecule: ribosomal RNA, 423 nt
Filed under: uncultured Glomeromycotina
Lineage: Eukaryota; Fungi; Glomeromycota
Description: SSU rRNA
Rfam family: Eukaryotic small subunit ribosomal RNA
Source: RNAcentral
CUGGUAUGACUGGUUUUACUGAUUCCUCCCUCUUGAAGAACUGUAAUGCCAUUAAUUUGGUGUUGCAGGGAAUCAGGACUGUUACUUUGAAAAAAUUAGAGUGUUUAAAGCAGGCUUUAGCUUGAAUACAUUAGCAUGGAAUAAUGAAAUAGGACGUUUGAUCCUAUUUUGUUGGUUACUAGGAUUGACGUAAUGAUUAAUAGGGAUAGUUGGGGGCAUUAGUAUUCAAUUGUCAGAGGUGAAAUUCUUGGAUUUACUGAAGACUAACUACUGCGAAAGCAUUUGCCAAGGAUGUUUUCAUUAAUCAAGAACGAAAGUUAGGGGAUCGAAGACGAUCAGAUACCGUCGUAGUCUUAACCAUAAACUAUGCCGACUAGGGAUCGGAUGAUGUUAAUUUUUUAAUGACUCAUUCGGCGCCUUACG